Molecule: ribosomal RNA, 1341 nt
Filed under: uncultured bacterium
Lineage: Bacteria
Description: partial 16S ribosomal RNA
Rfam family: Bacterial small subunit ribosomal RNA
Source: RNAcentral
GACGAACGCUGGCGGCGUGCUUAACACAUGCAAGUCGAACGGUAAGGCUCCAGCUUGCUGGGGUACACGAGUGGCGAACGGGUGAGUAACACGUGGGUGACCUGCCCUGCACUUCGGGAUAAGCCUGGGAAACUGGGUCUAAUACCGGAUAGGACCGCACCGUGAGGGUGUGGUGGAAAGUUUUUUCGGUGUGGGAUGGGCCCGCGGCCUAUCAGCUUGUUGGUGGGGUAAUGGCCUACCAAGGCGGCGACGGGUAGCCGGCCUGAGAGGGUGGACGGCCACAUUGGGACUGAGACACGGCCCAGACUCCUACGGGAGGCAGCAGUGGGGAAUAUUGCACAAUGGGCGGAAGCCUGAUGCAGCGACGCCGCGUGGGGGAUGACGGCCUUCGGGUUGUAAACUCCUUUCACCAUCGACGAAGGGUUUCUGACGGUAGAUGGAGAAGAAGCACCGGCUAACUACGUGCCAGCAGCCGCGGUAAUACGUAGGGUGCGAGCGUUGUCCGGAAUUACUGGGCGUAAAGAGCUCGUAGGUGGUUUGUCGCGUCGUCUGUGAAAUUCCGGGGCUUAACUCCGGGCGUGCAGGCGAUACGGGCAUAACUUGAGUACUGUAGGGGAGACUGGAAUUCCUGGUGUAGCGGUGAAAUGCGCAGAUAUCAGGAGGAACACCGGUGGCGAAGGCGGGUCUCUGGGCAGUAACUGACGCUGAGGAGCGAAAGCAUGGGGAGCGAACAGGAUUAGAUACCCUGGUAGUCCAUGCCGUAAACGGUGGGCGCUAGGUGUGGGUUUCCUUCCACGGGAUCCGUGCCGUAGCUAACGCAUUAAGCGCCCCGCCUGGGGAGUACGGCCGCAAGGCUAAAACUCAAAGGAAUUGACGGGGGCCUGCACAAGCGGCGGAGCAUGUGGAUUAAUUCGAUGCAACGCGAAGAACCUUACCUGGGCUUGACAUAUACAGGAUCGGGCCAGAGAUGGUGUUUCCCUUGUGGCUUGUAUACAGGUGGUGCAUGGUUGUCGUCAGCUCGUGUCGUGAGAUGUUGGGUUAAGUCCCGCAACGAGCGCAACCCUUGUCUUAUGUUGCCAGCACGUUGUGGUGGGGACUCGUAAGAAACUGCCGGGGUUAACUCGGAGGAAGGUGGGGAUGACGUCAAAUCAUCAUGCCCCUUAUGUCCAGGGCUUCACACAUGCUACAAUGGUCGGUACAGUGGGUUGCCAGUCCGUGAGGGCGAGCUAAUCCCGCAAAGCCGGUCUCAGUUCGGAUCGGGGUCUGCAACUCGACCCCGUGAAGUCGGAGUCGCUAGUAAUCGCAGAUCAGCAACGCUGCGGUGAAUACGUUCCCGGGCCU